AGCGAAUAUACCUGCCAUUUCUCAAUUUGAUUCUUCCCUCAAGCUCUCUUUUUGUCCGAACUCAUCGCUCCACAGUCUACCCUUUUCUUCUUGCAGGCAGGCUUUACCCAGAUUGUAGUUCUUAAGAUAGAUGUGCAUAUUUUGGUGCCUAACCAAACACUGUUGUUAGGUUUCAAAGGAAAGGACAGGGGCAAUAUUCAUAAAACAAGGGUUAUCAUCCAUUAUGGCACAUUUACUUUCAACUUCUUGCUCCUUAAAGUUGUCCACUAGCUGCAGAUCUUACCCUCAAGCAUUGAACGGAUGCCCAAAAACAUGUUCUACCUUUUUUACAAUGCAAACUUCAAAAUCUUCUUUUAGAAGGCUUGUCUUCCGAGGAGAGAUACCAAAAAGAAGUUUUAUAGUCCAAGCAGCUGCAGUGCCUGUAACCCAAGAAGCUCCAACACAAUCCAGCUCCAAUUCCCACCAGACCUCUGGUGAACCAUCCAAGCCAAGGCGGGUUAUGGUCAUUGGUGGAGAUGGCUACUGUGGUUGGGCCACUGCCCUCCACCUAUCCAACAAAGGUUAUGAGGUUGCUAUAGUUGACAGCCUCAUCCGUCGUCUUUUUGACCACCAACUUGGUCUAGACUCUCUGACCCCUAUCUCUUCCAUCCACAACCGGCUACGUUGUUGGAAAUCACUCACUGGAAAAACUAUUGAACUCCAUAUUGGUGAUAUUUGUGACUUUGAAUUCUUAUCAGAAACAUUCAAGUCAUUUGAGCCUGAUGCUGUUGUCCAUUUUGGGGAACAGCGCUCAGCCCCUUAUUCAAUGAUUGAUAGGUCUAGAGCUGUUUUUACUCAGCACAACAAUGUGAUCGGAACACUUAAUGUUCUCUUUGCUAUAAAGGAAUUUGUAGAGCAGUGCCAUCUGGUGAAGCUUGGGACAAUGGGAGAGUAUGGAACACCAAACAUUGAUAUUGAGGAGGGUUAUAUAACAAUUACCCAUAAUGGAAGAACAGACACUUUGCCUUACCCUAAGCAAGCCAGCUCUUUCUACCAUCUUAGCAAGGUACAUGACUCAAAUAAUAUAGCCUUCACUUGCAAGGCUUGGGGAAUUAGAGCUACCGAUCUAAACCAAGGAGUGGUUUAUGGAGUGAGGACUGAUGAGACAGAGAUGCAUGAAGAACUUUGCAACAGGUUUGAUUAUGAUGGAGUAUUUGGAACUGCAUUGAAUCGGUUUUGUGUCCAGGCUGCUGUUGGACAUCCACUUACUGUAUAUGGGAAAGGGGGCCAGACCAGGGGCUACCUUGACAUAAGGGAUACAGUUCAGUGUGUGGAACUUGCCAUUGCAAACCCUGCAAGACCUGGAGAGUUUCGGGUCUUCAAUCAAUUUACUGAGCAGUUUUCUGUCAAUGAACUUGCUUCCCUUGUAACAAAAGCGGGAGAGAAGCUUGGUCUGGAUGUGAAAACAAUAUCUGUGCCCAAUCCACGAGUGGAGGCAGAAGAACAUUACUACAAUGCCAAGCACACUAAGCUUAUUGAGUUGGGACUCAAACCACACCUUCUUUCAGACUCUCUUCUUGACUCAUUGCUUAACUUUGCUAUAAAGUUCAAGGAUCGUGUUGAUGCUAAACAGAUAAUGCCCGAUGUUUCAUGGAGGAAAAUUGGUGUUAAGCCAAAGACUGUUGCAGCAUGAAUAAGUAAACAUAUGUUAGGGACUUACACUACAAAAAAUCAUCAUCAAGCUUGAUCUUCUGUCAUUUCUUGUUAUCUUCUAUGGCAGAUGAUACUGCUUUUUUAACUUUCACUAAAUGCUAUGCUUAGUUUUUAUUAGUUGUAAUAUAUACAUGUUAAUUAGUGAAC
RNAcentral lists this unclassified non-coding RNA (1839 nucleotides) under Hevea brasiliensis (rubber tree). The record is from RNAcentral. Lineage: Eukaryota; Viridiplantae; Streptophyta; Magnoliopsida; Malpighiales; Euphorbiaceae.